RNAcentral lists this ribosomal RNA (419 nucleotides) under bacterium. RNAcentral describes it as "partial 16S ribosomal RNA". It matches the Rfam family "Bacterial small subunit ribosomal RNA", at positions 355 to 776 of the family's 1533-position model. The record is from RNAcentral.
UGGGGGAUAUUGCACAAUGGGCGAAAGCCUGAUGCAGCGACGCCGCGUGGGGGAUGAAGGCCUUCGGGUUGUAAACUUCUUUUGCUCUGAACAAGGCGCACCAUGGGGUGUGUUGAGUGUAGGGGUUGAUUAGCGCCGGCUAACUACGUGCCAGCAGCCGCGGGAAUACGUAGGGCGCGAGCGUUGUCCGGAAUUAUUGGGCGUAAAGGGCUUGUAGGUGGCUGGUUGCGUCUGUCGUGAAAGCUCAUGGCUUAACUGGGGGUUUGCGGUGGGUACGGGCUGGCUUGAGUGCAGUAGGGGAGGCUGGAAUUCCUGGUGUAGCGGUGGAAUGCGCAGAUAUCAGGAGGAAUACCGGUGGCGAAGGCGGGUCUCUGGGCUGUUACUGACACUGAGGAGCGAAAGCAUGGGGAGCGAACAGG